GACGAACGCUGGCGGCGUGCUUAACACAUGCAAGUCGAGCGGUAAGGCCCUUUCGGGGGUACACGAGCGGCGAACGGGUGAGUAACACGUGGGUGACCUGCCCUCAGCUCUGGGAUAAGCCCGGGAAACUGGGUCUAAUACCGGAUAUGACUCCAUGACGCAUGUUGUGGGGUGGAAAGCCUUGUGCGGCUGAGGAUGGGCCCGCGGCCUAUCAGCUUGUUGGUGGGGUGAUGGCCUACCAAGGCGACGACGGGUAGCCGGCCUGAGAGGGCGACCGGCCACACUGGGACUGAGAUACGGCCCAGACUCCUACGGGAGGCAGCAGUGGGGAAUCUUGCGCAAUGGGCGAAAGCCUGACGCAGCGACGCCGCGUGAGGGAUGACGGCCUGGU
Molecule: ribosomal RNA, 391 nt
Filed under: uncultured bacterium
Lineage: Bacteria
Description: bacterial SSU rRNA
Rfam family: Bacterial small subunit ribosomal RNA
Source: RNAcentral